UGACGGGCCCGCACAAGCAGCGGAGCGUGUGGUUUAAUUCGAUGUUACACGAAGACCUUACCAGGGUUUGACAUGCAAGUGGUAGGAAGCCGAAAGGUGACCGACCCUUCGGGGAGCUUGCACAGGUGCUGCAUGGCUGUCGUCAGCUCGUGUCGUGAGAUGUUCGGUUAAGUCCGCUAACGAGCGCAACCCUCGCUGUGUGUUAUAUGUGUCACACGGGACUGCCGGUCUUAAGCCGGAGGAAGGUGGGGAUGAUGUCAAGUCAGCAUGGCCUUUAUAUCCUGGGCUACACACACGCUACAAUGGCCAACACAAUAGGUUGCUAAGCCGCGAGGUGGCGCCAAUCCAUAAAGUUGGUCUCAGUUCAGAUUGUAGGCUGCAACCCGCCUGCAUGAAGAUGGAGUUGCUAGUAACCGCAGGUCAGCUAUACUGCGGUGAAUACGUUCCCGGGGCUU
Molecule: ribosomal RNA, 455 nt
Filed under: uncultured Leptolinea sp.
Lineage: Bacteria; Bacillati; Chloroflexota; Anaerolineae; Anaerolineales; Anaerolineaceae
Description: bacterial SSU rRNA
Rfam family: Bacterial small subunit ribosomal RNA
Source: RNAcentral